UCGGCUUGGAAGACGAAUUAAAUAAAGCAAAGAACAGAGAAAGAGAGAGAGAAGAAAAGGCCUGUGGAGCUUUGAGUAGGAAUUGAAAAGGUAAGGGAAUGAUUUGGUUAUUGAAGCACCAUAAUUGGAAGUGGGACCAAAGUUUUUGACCAGUGAUUUUGAGCCGUCUGAUAUUGAGCAAUCCAUGAUCAAUUUUAAGGUCAACAUCGUCAUGUAAGCUUUAUGACAAGGCAUAAUAAGAUUGCUGUGUUUUAUAUUGGUGUAGGGGUGGGACCCUAACACGUGACAUAUGUCCUUGCAUUGGGACCCUUUUCCCUUGUGGCAAAAAAAAAAAAAAAAAAAAAAAAAAGUAUNAAAGACCUCUAAUAAUGUAUAAAGGCGUUUACCGAUUAAAAAAAUAAAUCAGAAAAAUAAUGGUGGAAAGACUUGUUUUUCUUU
Molecule: long non-coding RNA, 438 nt
Organism: Cucurbita maxima (winter squash)
Lineage: Eukaryota; Viridiplantae; Streptophyta; Magnoliopsida; Cucurbitales; Cucurbitaceae
Exons: 2
Source: RefSeq, a predicted model, not a curated record